UCCGAAUUAGUAUAUCGGCUAGUAUAACCGCCUCUCAUCAUGUGGCCCGCGGUAGAGACGGGUUCGAUUCCCGUAUUCGGAA
This is a non-coding RNA of Puccinia sorghi, 82 nucleotides long. NCBI's taxonomy places the organism in Eukaryota, Fungi, Basidiomycota, Pucciniomycetes, Pucciniales, Pucciniaceae. The record is from the annotation of a GenBank genome assembly.